Molecule: long non-coding RNA, 4954 nt
Organism: Brienomyrus brachyistius
Lineage: Eukaryota; Metazoa; Chordata; Actinopteri; Osteoglossiformes; Mormyridae
Exons: 6
Source: RefSeq, a predicted model, not a curated record
GUUCAGCUUAGUAACUUCAUCAUAUUCUUAGCACAACAACCGGUAUAUAAUGAUAAGUUUAUAUAGCAUUAACAUUAACUAUAUUUUUACAAAUAAAACCACAAUGUACUGAAAACCAGGCUGAAGUCGGACACUUCUUCUCCAGCUUCUUAUUCGCGGGAUCCGCGUUGCCUUGAAGAGAGGAUGCUGUUUCGACAGAUUCCUGUAGAGGGCACUGUGUGCGCUAAAUCGAAAGCGCCAAGAAGGUAUUCAGCAUUUCGUUUUAGUAAGAAAUUUGUAAUAAUUCAGUGUUUUUGGUCACACGGCCAUUGGCUCUGAAAUUAAACUUUUCUUUUAAAUAAAAUUCAUUAAAUUCGGAAUCUGAUUUGUGUGCUUUCUUCGAUUUCUCAGAAAUAAGAAACUGUCGAAUAAGUAACCAAGUUCAGCCUGAUGUGAUUAAACUAGUACAAACUUCCCAUUCAACAGCGGCGGGAUAAUACUUGUCACACCUAUUCGACAUGCCGACUUCUUUGGCUUUUCUACUAAACUGCUUGCACAAUAAUAUAGUUGGAGCAGUCCCAGAUGACGCUGUCAGAAGAGCUAUGGUCAUUUCAGACUAAUUAAAACGUGAGCGUUGCCUGGACUUUAUUGCAGAGGGAAAAAUAGCUUGCAUUUUCAUAACCUCGGAACUGAAAGCAAGAAUAUAUUUUUUUUGUUUCGUGACGAGUUUCUUGUUGCACAUUGGCCGAAUAACGUGAAGAAAAGGGCUGACGUGUGAAUGGAGGGGUGCUGAACUUAUUGAACUACUACCCACGAUGGUGCACCCUUCUGGUUCUCAGACAUAGCAUUUUCAAAGUUAUCCUGGGCAAUAUGCACUGGUUUCUUGAUUCCAGUAAAUGUUUGUCUGACGAGCCCUACAAGACCAUGUAAACUUUUCUGCAAAUGACCGAGGGCUGUGCCAUGCCAGAGGAACGAAGGAUAGACCUGUCCACCUGCUCCCUCAGCAACACAUUGGCUUUGCUGGGUUUGAUUACUAUGUGGACAAGAAUAGCUGAAGUCACCCCGCAGUGCAGCGCAGAAAUAAUUGAAGUGGUGGAGGAUUACUUGAUUGCUGUCCGCGGAAUGGACACCUUUGGAUGCAUACUGUACACACCAAGUUUGACAAGCUAUGAGCAGAAAUGUCCCAAUUCCACAUUGACAUGCUUUGCAGAAGAAGUGAAAGUGCUAAUGUUUGAAAUUGAGGAAAAUCAAGCUUUUCAGGACCCAAAGUUUUUCAAAGACUUGCCCAAAAGACUGAUGUCUGUCAACACAGAAAAGGAUAGACAACAAUGUCUACAGUGUGAGGUUCAUGACGAAAAACCAGCAGAGGAGUUUCUUCUCGGAUUAAAAACGGUCCUCGAGAUGAUGAACAGCAGAUGUGGCUAACAGGCCGUCAUUCCGUGUGAGGAAAAGUCAUUUAAUGGAAGCUGAAUAUCGGCCCAUUUAAUUAUCGAAAAUGCAGGCCGGGAAUCGAGAUUUGUACUGGAACCAUUCUCUCUUACAAGGCACCAGUAACCCUUCUCAUGUCAUUAGAGAUAUUACCCAAGCAUCUGGAAGAUGAAUGGAUGGAUAUUAUGCAGAUGAAUAACAAUAACUCCAAGGCACUUUAAAAUAUGGAAUGCAUCCUUCGCAGUAGACGAUGCAUCAUCCUAUGCAUCAUCCUGUGCAUCAUCCUGUGCAUCAUCCUCUGCAUCAUCCUGUGCAUCAUCCUAUGCGCAGACAUGCGCACACAGCUGAAAAUGGUUUGCCAGAACAUAUCGAUUACGCCUCUAUGUGACUGGUUAACCAAAUUACUUAACUUUUGUGGUUAUAAUAAAUGUUUUCCUUUUUUAAACAAUUAAGUAUUUAUAAAAUAUUCAUAAAUUUAUAGUCAUUAUAGUCAUGCCAACAACCACUCUCUGCUCAUGGAUUCUGAACUUUCUCACCAGCAGACCACAAAAUGUCAGGGUGGGAAACCGUGUAUCAUCCACUCUUACACUGAGCACAGGAGUACCACAGGGCUCUGUCCUCAGCCCAGCCCUUUCCACCCUAUUCUCACACGAUUGCACACCCAUCCGCACCUCCAACACCAUAGUGAAAUUUGCAGAUGACACCACGGUAGAGGGACUGAUAACGGGAAACCAAGAGACCCAGUGCAGAGAGGAGGUGACACACUUGGUACAGUGGUGCUCAGACAGCAACCUUCUCUUCAGUACAUCCAAGACAAAGGAGAUUGUUAUGGACUUUAGGAGAACCAGGAAAACGACACCUCCCCCCCCCCCUCCACAUAAGUGGAGAGGAAAUGGAGAGGGUUAGCAACAUCAAAUUCCUGGGGGGCUACAUCUCAAAGGACCUGAAAUCGACUGCUAACACCUCUCAAUUUGUGAAGAAAGCUCAUCAGAGACUUUUCUUCUCAAGAACAUUUAAAAAAACCAGCCUUCCCACUCAGCUCCUUGUUAACUUUUACAGGAGCACAACAGAGAGCAUUCUCUGCUGCGGGGCUACAGUGUGGUGCUCCAGCUGCAUGGCAGGGAACCGGAGAGACUUGGCCCGGAUACUUAAGAUUGCUCAGAGGACCGUGGGCACCAAUCUCCCAGAUCUGAACAAUGUUUAUGCUAGUUGACUAUGUAGGAACCCACCCAGGUUACAAACUGUUUGUCCCCCUACCAUCGGGCGAAAGAUUCAAGACCAUCAAGUCACGAACAAACAGACUGAGGAAGAGCUUUUUCCCGAGAGCAGUGGCUUCCAUCACCCCCCUUAUCUCUACAGAACACUGACCAUUAAGUCACUUUCACACAUCUGUAGUGCUGCUGAUAUGCACUUGGUCACUUUAAAUCACAUUUACGUGAAAAUACCUAUAACCUGUAAAUAGUUUUAGGACGUUUCGGAAACCCUCUAAAUUUUUUGGAUUUUUGUUUAUCAUACGUUGAGCUUUCAAAGUAGCAACUUCCUUUUAAUAUAUGUCAUGCCUUUUGGAAACAGUAGUAUUUCAGCAGUGACAUUAAGUUUAUUGGAUUAACAGAAAAUAUGCAAUAUGCAUCAUAACCAAAUUAAACAGGUGCAUGAAUUUGGGCACCCCAACUGAGAUAUUACAUCAAUAGUUAGUUGAGCCUCCUUUUGCAAAUAUAACAGCCUAUAGCCUUUGAUGAGUGUCUGGAUUCUGGAUUGAGGUAUGUUUGACCAUUCUUCCAUACAAAAUCUCUCCAGUUUAGUUAAAUUUGAUGGCUGCCGAGCAUAGACAGCCUGCUUCAAAUCAUGAUGGUAUUCAAGUCGGGGGACUGUGAUGGCCAUUUCCAGAACAUUGCAUCCCACUGCAUGAAGACUUUGUAAAUUUCGAACUGUGUUUUAGUUCAUUGUCUUGUUGGAAUAUCCAACACCUGUGUAACUUCAACUUUGUGACUGAUGCUUGAACAUUAUCCUGAAGAAUUUAUUGAUAUUGAGUUGAAUUCAUCCAACCCUAGACUUUAACAAGGGCCCCAGUCCCUGAACUAGCCACACAGCCCCACAGAAGGAUGAAACCUCCACCAAAUUUGAGAGUUGGUAGCAGGCAUUUUUCUUGGAAUGCAGUGUUCUUCUUCCGGCAUGCAAAGCGCCUUUUGUUAUGACCAUGUAACUCAAUUUUCAUCUCAUCAGUCCAAAGCAAUUUGUUCCAGAAUGAAUCUCGCUUGUCUUAAGUUUGAGAUUUUUCAUACAAUAAACAGGGACGGAUUAUGGGUUGUGUGAGCCCCUGGGCAAAACGUUCGCGAGGCCCCCCCCCCCCACCACCACCAGCACCACCACCACAACAACCACAAUUCAAGGGCCCUUGGCAGCCAAACGCCCUCCCUAUAGGGUCAGGGGCCCUUGUAGGCAGAGGAUCAAAGAAUGUAGGCCCUCUAAAAUAGACAAACGAAAAUACAUUGUUGAUAAGCAUUGCAAAUUGUUUUGGGCUAGGGGCCCCACAGGUCCCCUGCACCCCAAGGGCCCCUGGGCAGCGGCCCCGCUGGCCCGGUCCAUAAUCCGUCCCUGACAAUAAGUGACUCUGUUUGUGGAGUGAGGACAGAAAGGGCUUCUUUGUCAUCACCCUGCCAUACAGAUGUUCUUUGUGCAAAUUGCGCUGAAUUGUAAAACGAUGUACAGAUACACCAUCUGCAGCAAGGUGUUCUUGCAGGUCUUUGGAGGAGAUCUGUGGGCUGUAACCAUUCUCACAUGCUGCUCCUGUAUUUUCUUCGCCUGCCAGACCAGCAACUGUGCCUCUGGCCUUCCAUUUCCUGAUUACGUUCCUUACAGUUGAACCUGACAGUUUAAACCUCUGAGAUAGCUUUUUGUAGCCUUCCCCUAAACCAUGAUACUGAACAGUCUUUGUUUUCAGAUCUUUUGGGAGUUUCUUUGAGGAUCCCAUGCUGUCACUCUUCAGAGGAGAGUCAAAGAGAAGCACAACUUGCAGUUGGUCACCCUUAAUUCCUUUUCCCCUGAUUGGAUGCAACUGUCUAUGAGGCUUAAGGCUUAAUGAGCUAAUCUAACCAAUUUGGUGUUGCAAGUGAUCAGUACUGAGCAGUUACAUGAAUUCAAAUCAGCAAACUUUCCCAAACUUUUGCACAGCCAGUUUUUCAUGUUUGAUUUCGUACAACUAAAUACUGCUUUACUAAAAAUCUUUGUUCGGAAAACACCUUAGUACUCAGAUGUUCCUAGGAAAUGAAAGACAUACCACUGUUACCUUCUUAGGAGGAAGUAAAGUAAAUUAUUAUGCAGGCUGAGAUUGGUUACCAAACUUUUUCAAAUGACUGUAGCAACAUCAUUCUUCAAGCAUCAUGGUAUAAGCCCUGUACCUCAGUCCUUUAUUGCAAAAGACUGAGGAAGAUUAAUUUAUGACUUAAAAUUAACUUUAUCACAGUUGCCCCAACCAUUGUUUCAUUAUAAUUGUCGCAAUGAAGAAAUGAAAAUAUGUCGCAAUGAAAAUAAAGGGGUAAAAAAACGA